This 879-nucleotide ribosomal RNA is filed under the name uncultured Hypocreales. RNAcentral describes it as "SSU rRNA". It matches the Rfam family "Eukaryotic small subunit ribosomal RNA", at positions 234 to 1119 of the family's 1831-position model. Lineage: Eukaryota; Fungi; Ascomycota; Sordariomycetes; Hypocreales. The record is from RNAcentral.
CGGGGCUCCUUGGUGAUUCAUGAUAACUCCUCGAAUCGCAUGGCCUUGUGCCGGCGAUGGUUCAUUCAAAUUUCUUCCCUAUCAACUUUCGAUGUUUGGGUAUUGGCCAAACAUGGUUGCAACGGGUAACGGAGGGUUAGGGCUCGACCCCGGAGAAGGAGCCUGAGAAACGGCUACUACAUCCAAGGAAGGCAGCAGGCGCGCAAAUUACCCAAUCCCGACACGGGGAGGUAGUGACAAUAAAUACUGAUACAGGGCUCUUUUGGGUCUUGUAAUUGGAAUGAGUACAAUUUAAAUCCCUUAACGAGGAACAAUUGGAGGGCAAGUCUGGUGCCAGCAGCCGCGGUAAUUCCAGCUCCAAUAGCGUAUAUUAAAGUUGUUGUGGUUAAAAAGCUCGUAGUUGAACCUUGGGCCUGGCUGGCCGGUCCGCCUCACCGCGUGUACUGGUCCGGCCGGGCCUUUCCCUCUGUGGAACCCCAUGCCCUUCACUGGGUGUGGCGGGGAAACAGGACUUUUACUUUGAAAAAAUUAGAGUGCUCCAGGCAGGCCUAUGCUCGAAUACAUUAGCAUGGAAUAAUAGAAUAGGACGUGUGGUUCUAUUUUGUUGGUUUCUAGGACCGCCGUAAUGAUUAAUAGGGACAGUCGGGGGCAUCAGUAUUCAAUUGUCAGAGGUGAAAUUCUUGGAUUUAUUGAAGACUAACUACUGCGAAAGCAUUUGCCAAGGAUGUUUUCAUUAAUCAGGAACGAAAGUUAGGGGAUCGAAGACGAUCAGAUACCGUCGUAGUCUUAACCAUAAACUAUGCCGACUAGGGAUCGGACGAUGUUAUUUUUUGACUCGUUCGGCACCUUACGAGAAAUCAAAGUGCUUGGGCUCCAGGG